This is a long non-coding RNA of Peromyscus eremicus (cactus mouse), 285 nucleotides long. RefSeq lists it as uncharacterized. Lineage: Eukaryota; Metazoa; Chordata; Mammalia; Rodentia; Cricetidae. The transcript has 3 exons. The record is from RefSeq and is a predicted model, not a curated record.
CUGAGGACCAGGCAAGACACAGGAAACCUUUCAGCUACAUACAAGUUCUUCCCUCUUGAAAAUCUCCGUGGGAAAGGGAAAUGUGCCGAACCAUCCAUGCUUGCAGCCUCUCCUGAGGAUGUGACCACUCCCUGGCUGGUCACAGAACAGUCUGGGCUCCUCAGAUAUGCAAGUGACUCAUUCUCCAUCCAUCAGAGAUGAGGCUUAAAUAAAUAAAAAGGAACACAAGAACCUAGGGCCCUUCCAAUGGCAUCCCCUGAACUCCAAUGUACACCAAUAUUAGAG